RNAcentral lists this ribosomal RNA (422 nucleotides) under uncultured bacterium. Its description in RNAcentral is "bacterial SSU rRNA". It matches the Rfam family "Bacterial small subunit ribosomal RNA", at positions 355 to 774 of the family's 1533-position model. The record is from RNAcentral.
UAAGGAAUAUUGGACAAUGGUCGCAAGACUGAUCCAGCCAUGCCGCGUGCAGGAAGACGGCCCUAUGGGUUGUAAACUGCUUUUGUACCAGAGAAAACCUAUCUACGUGUAGAUAGCUGAUAGUAUGGUAAGAAUAAGCAUCGGCUAACUUCGUGCCAGCAGCCGCGGUAAGACGAAGGAUGCAAGCGUUAUCCGGAUUCAUUGGGGUUAAAGGGUGCGUAGGCGGGCUAGUAAGUCAGUGGUGAAAUCUCUCAGCUUAACUGAGAAACUGCCAUUGAUACUGCAGGCCUAGAGUAUAGAUGACGUUGGCGGAAUAUGACAUGUAGUGGUGAAAUACUUAGAUAUGUCAUAGAACACCGAUUGCGAAGGCAGCUAACGAAACUAUAACUGACGCUGAGGCACGAAAGUGCGGGGAUCAAACA